GUAGGUGAACCUGCGGAAGGAUCAUUAACACGUGUUUACACGUUUUAACUCACCCUUUUCUAUCAAUUACCAAUGAGAACUUGUUUUCCGCCGCCCCUUCGGUAGAAUGAAUGGGAAUCAGAUUCCAGGUAGUGAAUGGGCCCGCAAGGGCAGCCUGGCUGUACAUACUGCUCUCUUCUCUCUUUCGAGAGCGAGGAGAGCGACCAUUGCAUCUAUGUCAUAAGAAGGGCUCCCCCCUCUAGGAGUUCAC
RNAcentral lists this unclassified non-coding RNA (250 nucleotides) under plant metagenome. RNAcentral's name for it is "partial contains small subunit ribosomal RNA, internal transcribed spacer 1, and 5.8S ribosomal RNA". The record is from RNAcentral.